CAGAGUGUAGCUAAGAAGUAAAGCAUCUCCCUUACACCGAGAAGACACCCGUGCAAUUCGGGCCACCCUGA
RNAcentral lists this transfer RNA (71 nucleotides) under Neosynchiropus morrisoni. Its description in RNAcentral is "tRNA-Val". It matches the Rfam family "tRNA". From Rfam's summary of the family: Transfer RNA (tRNA) molecules are approximately 80 nucleotides in length. Their secondary structure includes four short double-helical elements and three loops (D, anti-codon, and T loops). The record is from RNAcentral. Lineage: Eukaryota; Metazoa; Chordata; Actinopteri; Syngnathiformes; Callionymidae. RNAcentral also lists the same sequence under 1 other name.